Molecule: ribosomal RNA, 253 nt
Filed under: uncultured bacterium
Lineage: Bacteria
Description: partial 16S ribosomal RNA
Rfam family: Bacterial small subunit ribosomal RNA
Source: RNAcentral
UACGAAGGGUCCAAGCGUUAUCCGGAUUUAUUGGGUUUAAAGGGUGCGUAGGCGGCUUAUUAAGUCAGUGGUGAAAGCCUGUAGCUUAACUACAGAACUGCCAUUGAUACUGAUGAGCUUGAAUAUACUUGAGGUUGGCGGAAUGUGUCAUGUAGCGGUGAAAUGCUUAGAUAUGACACAGAACACCGAUUGCGAAGGCAGCUCUCUGGGACGGUACUGACGCUGAGACGCGAAAGCGUGGGGAGCGAACAGG